UUUAAACGCAAUCAAACAUUUUGGUGUUCAACGUUUGACCAUCCGUUUUAUUUGAAAUUUUUUAUAGUUAGUAUUUUUAUUACUAUUUUAUGAUAAAACAUAAAUAGUAUUUUAUACGUGAUAUUUUUUUAUUUUUUUAUAAAAUUUUUAAAUAAGAUGGAUAAUCCAUCGUUAAACCUAAAAACCGAUAACU
RNAcentral lists this microRNA precursor (193 nucleotides) under Oryza punctata. RNAcentral's name for it is "MIR812 microRNA precursor family". It matches the Rfam family "MIR812 microRNA precursor family". The record is from Rfam by way of RNAcentral. Lineage: Eukaryota; Viridiplantae; Streptophyta; Magnoliopsida; Poales; Poaceae.